GCUGGGUAUAGUGGCUCGUGCCUGUAGUCCCAGCUACUUGGGAGGCUGAGGCAGGAGAAUCGCUUGAGCCUGGGAGACUGAGCCUGCAGUGAGCUAUGAUGGUACCACUGCACUCCAGCCUGGGCAACAGAGCGAGACCGUGUCUCAA
Molecule: unclassified non-coding RNA, 148 nt
Organism: Callithrix jacchus (white-tufted-ear marmoset)
Lineage: Eukaryota; Metazoa; Chordata; Mammalia; Primates; Cebidae
Rfam family: Metazoan signal recognition particle RNA
About the family: The signal recognition particle (SRP) is a universally conserved ribonucleoprotein. It is involved in the co-translational targeting of proteins to membranes. The eukaryotic SRP consists of a 300-nucleotide 7S RNA and six proteins: SRPs 72, 68, 54, 19, 14, and 9.
Source: Ensembl